GCCUCCUGAGUAGCUGGGACUACAGGGCAUGCUUUCUCGCCUGCCGGCCUUCCACCAUGGGAUGAAGCAGCAAGAAGGCUCUUGCCAGAGGCAGACCCCUCGACCUUGGACUUCCCAGCCCCCAGAACUUAUUUUUGAUCUGCAGUUGGUUGACUCCACGGAUGCAGAACCCAUGGAUGGAUACAGAGGGUUGACUGUAUAAGAAGUUUUCUAUAAAUGUCUGCUGUGGACUGAACUGAUGGAAUAAGCAUCCAAAAGGAAUGCCACCGGCUGAAAUGCUGACCCUCAUCACCAAGAUAAAACAUUGCAGGGAUGCAUGAAAAUUACAUUUGGGGAGUAAAUAGGCAGCCCAAGUACAGAGUGAAGAAGACCUGCUUAGAGGUGGCACACAUGAAAACAACUCAAAGGUUUACUUGCCCAUCUGAAUAUUCAUCCAUCCAUCCAUCCAUCCAUCCAUCCAUCCAUCCAUCCAUCCAUCCAACCAUCCAACCCCCUCUUGCCCUCAGAAGUUUAACCACCAGGAUUG
RNAcentral lists this long non-coding RNA (526 nucleotides) under Homo sapiens (human). RNAcentral's name for it is "USP2 antisense RNA 1". Lineage: Eukaryota; Metazoa; Chordata; Mammalia; Primates; Hominidae. The record is from RNAcentral.